UGACCUGCGGAGGGAUCAUUACACAAAUAUGAAGGCGGGCUGGAACCUCUCGGGGUUACAGCCUUGCUGAAUUAUUCACCCUUGUCUUUUGCGUACUUCUUGUUUCCUUGGUGGGUUCGCCCACCACUAGGACAAACAUAAACCUUUUGUAAUUGCAAUCAGCGUCAGUAACAAAUUAAUAAUUACAACUUUCAACAACGGAUCUCUUGGUUCUGGCAUCGAUGAAGAACGCAGCGAAAUGCGAUAAGUAGUGUGAAUUGCAGAAUUCAGUGAAUCAUCGAAUCUUUGAACGCACAUUGCGCCCUUUGGUAUUCCAAAGGGCAUGCCUGUUCGAGCGUCAUUUGUACCCUCAAGCUUUGCUUGGUGUUGGGCGUCUUGUCUCUAGCUUUGCUGGAGACUCGCCUUAAAGUAAUUGGCAGCCGGCCUACUGGUUUCGGAGCGCAGCACAAGUCGCACUCUCUAUCAGCAAAGGUCUAGCAUCCAUUAAGCCUUUUUUUCAACUUUUGACCUCGGAUCAGGUAGGGAUACCCGCUGAACUUAAGCAUAUCAAUAAGCGGAGGAAAAGAAACCAAACAGGGAUUGCCCUAGUAACGGCGAGUGAAGCGGCAACAGCUCAAAUUUGAAAUCUGGCUCUUUUAGAGUCCGAGUUGUAAUUUUGCAGAGGGCGCUUU
RNAcentral lists this ribosomal RNA (671 nucleotides) under fungal sp. RNAcentral describes it as "eukaryotic LSU rRNA". The stretch from base 187 to 340 matches the Rfam family "5.8S ribosomal RNA". Lineage: Eukaryota; Fungi. The record is from RNAcentral.